GUCUAUGGCCAUACCACCCUGAACGCACCCGAUCUCGUCUGAUCUCGAAAGCUAAGCAUGGUCGGGCCUGGUUAGUACUUGGAUGGGAGGAUAUGUAGUAUUUAAGAAA
This 109-nucleotide ribosomal RNA is filed under the name Neogale vison (American mink). Lineage: Eukaryota; Metazoa; Chordata; Mammalia; Carnivora; Mustelidae. The record is from RNAcentral.